RNAcentral lists this ribosomal RNA (822 nucleotides) under uncultured Pseudomonadota bacterium. RNAcentral describes it as "bacterial SSU rRNA". It matches the Rfam family "Bacterial small subunit ribosomal RNA", at positions 72 to 896 of the family's 1533-position model. Lineage: Bacteria; Pseudomonadati; Pseudomonadota. The record is from RNAcentral.
UACCGUAGCAAUACGGUAUGGCGCACGGCGCACGGGUGCGUAACACGUGGGUAAUCUGCCCUUCGAUGGGGAAUAACUCCGGGAAACCGAAGCUAAUUCCGCAUAACAUUCCUUGAACUUCGGUUUGAGGACUCAAAGCCGUAAGGCGUCGGAGGAGGAACCCGCGCACGAUUAGCUAGUUGGUAGGGUAACGGCCUACCAAGGCUUUGAUCGUUAGCUGGUCUGAGAGGAUGGCCAGCCACACUGGAACUGAGACACGGUCCAGACUCCUACGGGAGGCAGCAGUGGGGAAUCUUGCACAAUGGGCGAAAGCCUGAUGCAGCGACGCCGCGUGGGGGAUGAAGCUUUUCGGAGUGUAAACCCCUUUCGACCCGGACGAAUGCCCCGCAAGGGGACUGACGGUACGGGUAUAAGAAGCCCCGGCUAACUACGUGCCAGCAGCCGCGGUAAGACGUGGGGGGCCAGCGUUGCUCGGAAUUACUGGGUGUAAAGGGUUCGUAGGCGGUGUAGCAAGUCGGGAGUGAAAUCUCUGGGCUCAACCCAGAGACUGCUUCCGAAACUGCUGUGCUUGAGUGUGGGAGAGGCGCGUGGAAUUGCAGGUGUAGCGGUGAAAUGCGUAGAUAUCUGCAGGAACACCCGUGGCGAAAGCGGCGCGCUGGACCACUACUGACGCUGAGGAACGAAAGCUAGGGGAGCAAACAGGAUUAGAUACCCUGGUAGUCCUAGCCCUAAACGAUCAGGACUUGGGGUGCCGCACGUUCGUGCGUCGUCCCGGAGCUAACGCGUUAAGUCCUGCACCUGGGGAGUACGGUCGCAAGACUG